Molecule: microRNA, 22 nt
Filed under: Magallana gigas (Pacific oyster)
Lineage: Eukaryota; Metazoa; Mollusca; Bivalvia; Ostreida; Ostreidae
Description: Mgi-Mir-10-P2_3p* (star (passenger))
Source: RNAcentral
CAAGCUCAGAUCUAGGGGUCUG